RNAcentral lists this ribosomal RNA (253 nucleotides) under uncultured bacterium. Its description in RNAcentral is "partial 16S ribosomal RNA". It matches the Rfam family "Bacterial small subunit ribosomal RNA", at positions 524 to 776 of the family's 1533-position model. The record is from RNAcentral.
UACGUAGGGGGCGAGCGUUGUCCGGAAUUAUUGGGCGUAAAGAGCGUGUAGGCGGCCCCUUAAGUCCUGCGUGAAAUCCUGCGGCUCAACCGCAGACGGUCGUGGGAAACUGGAGGGCUAGAGUGCGGGAGAGGAGAGUGGAAUUCCCGGUGUAGCGGUGAAAUGCGCAGAUAUCGGGAAGAACACCCGUGGCGAAGGCGGCUCUCUGGAACGCAACUGACGCUGAGACGCGAAAGCGUGGGGAGCAAACAGG